RNAcentral lists this ribosomal RNA (376 nucleotides) under uncultured Sphingomonas sp. RNAcentral describes it as "bacterial SSU rRNA". It matches the Rfam family "Bacterial small subunit ribosomal RNA", at positions 107 to 518 of the family's 1533-position model. Lineage: Bacteria; Pseudomonadati; Pseudomonadota; Alphaproteobacteria; Sphingomonadales; Sphingomonadaceae. The record is from RNAcentral.
UGCGUAACGCGUGGGAAUCUGCCCUUGGGUUCGGAAUAACAGUGAGAAAUUACUGCUAAUACCGGAUGAUGUCGAAAGACCAAAGAUUUAUCGCCCGAGGAUGAGCCCGCGUAGGAUUAGCUAGUUGGUGAGGUAAAGGCUCACCAAGGCGACGAUCCUUAGCUGGUCUGAGAGGAUGAUCAGCCACACUGGGACUGAGACACGGCCCAGACUCCUACGGGAGGCAGCAGUGGGGAAUAUUGGACAAUGGGCGAAAGCCUGAUCCAGCAAUGCCGCGUGAGUGACGAAGGCCCUAGGGUUGUAAAGCUCUUUUACCCGGGAUGAUAAUGACAGUACCGGGAGAAUAAGCCCCGGCUAACUCCGUGCCAGCAGCCGC